UCCUAGUCUCUUGCCUCAGAUUGUAGGAUAAACACUUUAUGUUCCAUUCACUGAAUGUAGAGGACAUCUUUUCACUAAUCCCACCUAUCUUUUCAAUUUUUCCAGGAAGGUAGGUUGAGGGGAAAUCUGCUUUCAAAUUUUAAAGGCCUCAAGGUGUUAGGAGGAAAACAGCAUUUUCUCAUGGAAGUAGCAUCUCAGAUUCCAGAAAGCCAGUGUACACGCAGACUUCGGAGGCAGUAAACAGGAAACCAUCGAUCCCGUGCAGGAAAUGACCUUGUUUGAAGGCAACGAAGGUGUCGCGGAUUUCCCUCGUUUUCCUUCAGUUCCUUUCUAAACUCAUUUCCGUGUUUCAAUCAGUUUGGUCCUUCUCUACAUUAACAGAGUCCCCCCGGCCCAGAGAGAAUGGCAAACAGACCCUUCCCUUUAGUGGACAUUUUUAUGUCUUGUUUUACAUCACUGCAAAUCUCAGCCAAUCAGUAGUUGGGGUAGGAGGUACCAAAAUAAUCCUCACUUCCUCCCCCAAAUACCACCCCUCGCGUGCGUCAUCCUGUG
This 552-nucleotide long non-coding RNA is filed under the name Homo sapiens (human). RNAcentral's name for it is "non-protein coding lnc-FOXJ2-1:1". Lineage: Eukaryota; Metazoa; Chordata; Mammalia; Primates; Hominidae. The record is from RNAcentral.